This 835-nucleotide ribosomal RNA is filed under the name uncultured Glomeraceae. RNAcentral describes it as "eukaryotic LSU rRNA". It matches the Rfam family "Eukaryotic large subunit ribosomal RNA", at positions 10 to 694 of the family's 3401-position model. The record is from RNAcentral. Lineage: Eukaryota; Fungi; Glomeromycota; Glomeromycetes; Glomerales; Glomeraceae.
AUCAGGUAGGGACACCCGCUGAACUUAAGCAUAUCAAUAAGCGGAGGAAAAGAAAAUAACAAUGAUUCCCCUAGUAACUGCGAGUGAAGAGGGACAAGCUCAAAUUUAAAAUCUGUUAGGUUUUACCUGACCGAGUUGUAAUUUGAAGAGGCGUUUUCAUCGUUUUUGGUCAGCUCAAGUCCCAUUGAAUGAGGCAUCAUGGAGGGUGAUAAUCCCGUCCGGUUGAUCAAUGCGUUUUACGAUACGUCUUCCAAGAGUCAAGUUGUUUGGGAUUGCAGCUUAAAAUGGGAGGUAAAUUUCUCCUAAGGCUAAAUAACGGCGAGAGACCGAUAGCGAACAAGUACCGUGAGGGAAAGAUGAAAAGAACUUUGAAAAGAGAGUCAAACAGUACGUGAAAUUGUUGAAAGGGAAACGAUUGAAGCCAGUCGUACCGGCGGAUAGUCAGCCUUUCGAGUGCGAUUCUGUGGAGCGCGAGGAGCUUAAUCGCCUUCACGUCUUGCAUAUUCGUGCACUUUUGGUGUACUUGUCCGUGUGGUGAGUUAACAUCAAUUCCGGUCGGCAUAAAAUGAUUGGAGGAAUGUAGCUUCGAUCUCGUAUCGAAGUGUUAUAGACUCUGGUAGAUGUGACGAUUGGGAUUGAGGAUUGCAACGGAUACCCUUCGGGCUACCCGCCUGAUCUCUGAAGGUUGCUCCGGUGCCGAAAGCGUGCUUAUGGUCAUCGAAAGUGAUCGUCAAAAGGUUAGAACGGGUUAAAUUCGUUAAGGAUGUUGACGUAAUGGCUUUAAACGACCCGUCUUGAAACACGGACCAAGGAGUCUAACAUAUAUGCGAGUGUU